RNAcentral lists this ribosomal RNA (108 nucleotides) under Bacillus anthracis (anthrax bacterium). Its description in RNAcentral is "partial 16S ribosomal RNA". It matches the Rfam family "Bacterial small subunit ribosomal RNA", at positions 1 to 103 of the family's 1533-position model. The record is from RNAcentral. Lineage: Bacteria; Bacillati; Bacillota; Bacilli; Caryophanales; Bacillaceae.
UUAUUUGAGAGUUUGAUCCUGGCUCAGGAUGAACGCUGGCGGCGUGCCUAAUACAUGCAAGUCGAGCGAAUGGAUUAAGAGCUUGCUCUUAUGAAGUUAGCGGCGGAC